CUAAGGAAUAUAACGGAAACCCACACAUUCGUACUUACUUUGUUUAGUUUUGAGAGGUCUAAUCUUCUCAAUAAAUAGAUGUUGUUCUUUGAAAACUGGAUAAAGUUAAAAAUUGUAAUUCAAGUAAGAAACCAGAAACACACCGAAAAGUUUUAAAAAUGAGUUUUUUUAAGGUUCUCAUCGUAAGAUGAGUAUUGAACAUUAACGAUUAACCAUA
Molecule: unclassified non-coding RNA, 217 nt
Filed under: Carnobacterium inhibens subsp. inhibens DSM 13024
Lineage: Bacteria; Bacillati; Bacillota; Bacilli; Lactobacillales; Carnobacteriaceae
Description: small 16S-23S rRNA intergenic spacer
Source: RNAcentral